CACCUCCCUCUCUCUCUCUGUAGCUAGAGGGCAGUUCCACGGGAACAGAAUUACACUUUGACUUUCAAAUAUAUUCCAAACAAAAAACAUUAAUGGCAAAGAUGAACAAACCAUACAACUCUCUGCACACCCUCUCCCCCCUCUCCAUCUCAAACCAUACAACUCUCUGCACACCCUCUCCCCCCUCUCCAUCUCAAACCAUACAACUCUAUGCACAAGGACUACUUUGAACAAUUUACACAAUUUACAAGAUUACAGUACAGUAGAGUAGACUCACCUUCUCCCUCUCUCCCUCCCUCUCUCUCUCCCCAUUCCCCCUCUCUCUCCCUCUCUCUCUCCCUCUCCUCUCACCCCGCCCUCUCUCUCUCCCUCUCCCUCUCACCCCGCCCUCUCUCUCCCUCUCUCCCCCCUCUCCCUAUCUCUCCCUCUCGCUCUCUCGCACCCCGCCCUCUCUCUCCAUCUCUCCCCCCUCUCCCUCUCUCCCCCCUCUCCCUAUCUCUCCCUCUCCCUAUCUCUCAGUAGCUACAGUAACAGUUUACUGCACCUUACCCCCCUCUCCACUCUAACAGUAAUCAGGUAUUUCAGAGGUCCUGCUAGGAGAAGAGAGAGGAGCAGUAAUCAGGUAUUUCAGAGGUCCUGCCAGGAGAAGAGAGAGGAGCAGUAAUCAGGUAUUUCAGAGGUCCUGCUAGGAGAAGAGAGAGGAGCAGUAAUCAGGUAUUUCAGAGGUCCUGCUAGGAGAAGAGAGAGGAGCAGUAAUCAGGUAUUUCAGAGGUCCUGCUAGGAGAAGAGAGAGGAGCAGUAAUCAGGUAUUUCAGACUCGGCCUCAGGCUGGAACGUGUCCAGCUCCAUCAGAGGAUUCAGUCUCACCCUUCUCUCUGGAACAGACUUCUCUCCCUCCUCUCCUCUCUCCUCUCUCCUCCCUCCUCUCCUCUCCUCUCCCCACUUCCCUUCUCCUCUCCCCUGUCAGCCUAUCCCUCGCCUCUCCUCCCUCCUCUCCUCUCUCCUCUCUCCUCCCACCUCUCUCCUCUCUCCCCACUUCCCUUCUCCUCUCCCCUGUCAGCCUAUCCCCAGCCAUUGAGUAGUUCCUGGAACACCCAUUCGCAGGCCUCUCCUCUCCUCUCCUCUCCUCUCCUCUCUGUUCAACAGAGGGAGAUUAGUCAGGGUUAUGGAGGAGUGCUGGCUGGGUAAUGGCCAUUUCUGUUGUGGUCAGUUACCAUGGUGAGGAGCUUAAGAAGGUAGAGGAAGAGCAUGGGAGUAGAAUCAGCUCUCUCUCUCUCUCUCUCUCUCUCUCUCUCUCUCUCUCUCUCUCUCUCUCUCUCUCUUCCCCUCUCUCUCUCUCUCUCUCUCUCUCUCUCUCUCUCUCUCUCUCUCUCUCUCUCUCUCU
RNAcentral lists this long non-coding RNA (1384 nucleotides) under Salmo salar (Atlantic salmon). Its description in RNAcentral is "lncRNA (ENSSSAG00000092459.1)". Lineage: Eukaryota; Metazoa; Chordata; Actinopteri; Salmoniformes; Salmonidae. The record is from RNAcentral.